GGGUUGUGAGGUUAAGCGACUAAGCGUACACGGUGGAUGCCCUGGCAGUCAGAGGCGAUGAAGGACGUGCUAAUCUGCGAUAAGCGCCGGUAAGGUGAUAUGAACCGUUAUAACCGGCGAUUUCCGAAUGGGGAAACCCAGUGUGAUUCGUCACACUAUCAUUAACUGAAUCCAUAGGUUAAUGAGGCGAACCGGGGGAACUGAAACAUCUAAGUACCCCGAGGAAAAGAAAUCAACCGAGAUUCCCCCAGUAGCGGCGAGCGAACGGGGAGGAGCCCAGAGCCUGAAUCAGCAUGUGUGUUAGUGGAAGCGUCUGGAAAGGCGCGCGAUACAGGGUGACAGCCCCGUACACAAAAGCGCAUGUGCUGUGAGCUCGAUGAGUAGGGCGGGACACGUGGUAUCCUGUCUGAAUAUGGGGGGACCAUCCUCCAAGGCUAAAUACUCCUGACUGACCGAUAGUGAACCAGUACCGUGAGGGAAAGGCGAAAAGAACCCCGGCGAGGGGAGUGAAAAAGAACCUGAAACCGUGUACGUACAAGCAGUGGGAGCACCCUUCGGGGUGUGACUGCGUACCUUUUGUAUAAUGGGUCAGCGACUUAUAUUCUGUAGCAAGGUUAACCGUAUAGGGGAGCCGGAGGGAAACCGAGUCUUAAUUGGGCGUUAAGUUGCAGGGUAUAGACCCGAAACCCGGUGAUCUAGCCAUGGGCAGGUUGAAGGUUGGGUAACACUAACUGGAGGACCGAACCGACUAAUGUUGAAAAAUUAGCGGAUGACCUGUGGCUGGGGGUGAAAGGCCAAUCAAACCGGGAGAUAGCUGGUUCUCCCCGAAAGCUAUUUAGGUAGCGCCUCGUGAAUUCAUCUCCGGGGGUAGAGCACUGUUUCGGCUAGGGGGCCAUCCCGGCUUACCAACCCGAUGCAAACUGCGAAUACCGGAGAAUGUUAUCACGGGAGACACACGGCGGGUGCUAACGUCCGUCGUGAAGAGGGAAACAACCCAGACCGCCAGCUAAGGUCCCAAAGUCAUGGUUAAGUGGGAAACGAUGUGGGAAGGCCCAGACAGCCAGGAUGUUGGCUUAGAAGCAGCCAUCAUUUAAAGAAAGCGUAAUAGCUCACUGGUCGAGUCGGCCUGCGCGGAAGAUGUAACGGGGCUAAACCAUGCACCGAAGCUGCGGCAGCGAACGUAUCACCCAAGACAACUUUACGGAGUUGACGAUUGACGGAGCGAAGCGACGUCAAAGCGUUCAUUAAAGUCGAGUUGGCUUAGGGAUACGUUCGUUGGGUAGGGGAGCGUUCUGUAAGCCUGUGAAGGUGUGUCGUGAGGCAUGCUGGAGGUAUCAGAAGUGCGAAUGCUGACAUAAGUAACGAUAAAGCGGGUGAAAAGCCCGCUCGCCGGAAGACCAAGGGUUCCUGUCCAACGUUAAUCGGGGCAGGGUGAGUCGACCCCUAAGGCGAGGCCGAAAGGCGUAGUCGAUGGGAAACGGGUUAAUAUUCCCGUACUUGGUGUUACUGCGAAGGGGGGACGGAGAAGGCUAUGUUGGCCGGGCGACGGUUGUCCCGGUUUAAGCGUGUAGGUGUGUGUUCCAGGUAAAUCCGGUUCACUUUAACACUGAGGCGUGACGACGAGGCACUACGGUGCUGAAGCAACAAAUGCCCUGCUUCCAGGAAAAGCCUCUAAGCAUCAGGUAACAUCAAAUCGUACCCCAAACCGACACAGGUGGUCAGGUAGAGAAUACCAAGGCGCUUGAGAGAACUCGGGUGAAGGAACUAGGCAAAAUGGUGCCGUAACUUCGGGAGAAGGCACGCUGACACGUAGGUGAAGUGAUUUACUCAUGGAGCUGAAGUCAGUCGAAGAUACCAGCUGGCUGCAACUGUUUAUUAAAAACACAGCACUGUGCAAACACGAAAGUGGACGUAUACGGUGUGACGCCUGCCCGGUGCCGGAAGGUUAAUUGAUGGGGUCAGCGCAAGCGAAGCUCCUGAUCGAAGCCCCGGUAAACGGCGGCCGUAACUAUAACGGUCCUAAGGUAGCGAAAUUCCUUGUCGGGUAAGUUCCGACCUGCACGAAUGGCGUAAUGAUGGCCAGGCUGUCUCCACCCGAGACUCAGUGAAAUUGAACUCGCUGUGAAGAUGCAGUGUACCCGCGGCAAGACGGAAAGACCCCGUGAACCUUUACUAUAGCUUGACACUGAACAUUGAGCCUUGAUGUGUAGGAUAGGUGGGAGGCUUUGAAGUGUGGACGCCAGUCUGCAUGGAGCCGACCUUGAAAUACCACCCUUUAAUGUUUGAUGUUCUAACGUGGACCCGUAAUCCGGGUUGCGGACAGUGUCUGGUGGGUAGUUUGACUGGGGCGGUCUCCUCCUAAAGAGUAACGGAGGAGCACGAAGGUUGGCUAAUCCUGGUCGGACAUCAGGAGGUUAGUGCAAUGGCAUAAGCCAGCUUGACUGCGAGCGUGACGGCGCGAGCAGGUGCGAAAGCAGGUCAUAGUGAUCCGGUGGUUCUGAAUGGAAGGGCCAUCGCUCAACGGAUAAAAGGUACUCCGGGGAUAACAGGCUGAUACCGCCCAAGAGUUCAUAUCGACGGCGGUGUUUGGCACCUCGAUGUCGGCUCAUCACAUCCUGGGGCUGAAGUAGGUCCCAAGGGUAUGGCUGUUCGCCAUUUAAAGUGGUACGCGAGCUGGGUUUAGAACGUCGUGAGACAGUUCGGUCCCUAUCUGCCGUGGGCGCUGGAGAACUGAGGGGGGCUGCUCCUAGUACGAGAGGACCGGAGUGGACGCAUCACUGGUGUUCGGGUUGUCAUGCCAAUGGCACUGCCCGGUAGCUAAAUGCGGAAGAGAUAAGUGCUGAAAGCAUCUAAGCACGAAACUUGCCCCGAGAUGAGUUCUCCCUGAGACUUAGAGUCUCCUGAAGGAACGUUGAAGACGACGACGUUGAUAGGCCGGGUGUGUAAGCGCAGCGAUGCGUUGAGCUAACCGGUACUAAUGAACCGUGAGGCUUAACCUUACAACGCCGAAG
Molecule: ribosomal RNA, 3011 nt
Filed under: Salmonella enterica subsp. enterica serovar Typhimurium
Lineage: Bacteria; Pseudomonadati; Pseudomonadota; Gammaproteobacteria; Enterobacterales; Enterobacteriaceae
Also listed under: 2 other names
Description: 23S ribosomal RNA
Rfam family: Bacterial large subunit ribosomal RNA
Source: RNAcentral